UUUCUUUCUAAAACAAGGAAGGAAGAAAGAAAAUCGUCAAAACCAUCUUUUUCUCAGAUAGUCUAACCAAAGGUUUAGACUUUGGACUACGUUACAAAAACUUGCUGGGAAUCUUGGCCCCUUCGUGAAGGUCGCGGGUUAAAAGGUUUGGGCUUUGUCACUGUGAAUGCACAGGCUUGCAUCUGCAACAGAGUUUAUGGCUAUGGAGGUUGAUUCUGAGAAACAACCGAUUAA
Molecule: long non-coding RNA, 234 nt
Organism: Brassica napus (rape)
Lineage: Eukaryota; Viridiplantae; Streptophyta; Magnoliopsida; Brassicales; Brassicaceae
Exons: 3
Source: RefSeq, a predicted model, not a curated record